CAGUCGCCGCGGGAAUACGAAGGGUGCAAGCGUUAAUCGGAAUUACUGGGCGUAAAGCGUGCGUAGGCGGUUUGUUAAGUCUGCUGUGAAAUCCCCGGGCUCAACCUGGGAAUGGCAGUGGAUACUGGCAAGCUAGAGUGCGUCAGAGGAUGGUGGAAUUCCCGGUGUAGCGGUGAAAUGCGUAGAGAUCGGGAGGAACAUCAGUGGCGAAGGCGGCCAUCUGGGACAACACUGACGCUGAAGCACGAAAGCGUGGGGAGCAAACAGGAUUAGAGACCCGCGUAGUCCCUGUCUCUUAUAC
RNAcentral lists this ribosomal RNA (301 nucleotides) under uncultured bacterium. Its description in RNAcentral is "partial 16S ribosomal RNA". It matches the Rfam family "Bacterial small subunit ribosomal RNA", at positions 509 to 807 of the family's 1533-position model. The record is from RNAcentral.